UACGUAGGGUGCAAGCGUUAAUCGGAAUUACUGGGCGUAAAGCGUGCGCAGGCGGUUGUGCAAGACAGAUGUGAAAUCCCCGGGCUUAACCUGGGAACUGCAUUUGUGACUGGCAGGCUAGAGUAUGGCAGAGGGGGGUAGAAUUCCACGUGUAGCAGUGAAAUGCGUAGAGAUGUGGAGGAAUACCGAUGGCGAAGGCAGCCCCCUGGGCCAAUACUGACGCUCAUGCACGAAAGCGUGGGGAGCAAACAGG
RNAcentral lists this ribosomal RNA (253 nucleotides) under uncultured bacterium. Its description in RNAcentral is "partial 16S ribosomal RNA". It matches the Rfam family "Bacterial small subunit ribosomal RNA", at positions 524 to 776 of the family's 1533-position model. The record is from RNAcentral.